Molecule: ribosomal RNA, 514 nt
Filed under: uncultured Alkalibacterium sp.
Lineage: Bacteria; Bacillati; Bacillota; Bacilli; Lactobacillales; Carnobacteriaceae
Description: bacterial SSU rRNA
Rfam family: Bacterial small subunit ribosomal RNA
Source: RNAcentral
AGGCUUUGAUCCUGGCUCAGGACGAACGCUGGCGGUAUGCCUAAUACAUGCAAGUCGAACGCUGAAGCACUCUGCUUGCAGAGUGCGGAUGAGUGGCGAACGGGUGAGUAACACGUGGGUAACCUGCCCAUAAGAGGGGGAUAACAUCCGGAAACGGGUGCUAAUACCGCAUAGGUGAACGGAGCGCAUGCUCUGUUCAUUAAAGAUGGCCUUGUGCUAUCGCUUAUGGAUGGACCCGCGGCGUAUUAGCUAGUUGGUGAGGUAAUGGCUCACCAAGGCGAUGAUACGUAGCCGACCUGAGAGGGUGAUCGGCCACACUGGGACUGAGACACGGCCCAGACUCCUACGGGAGGCAGCAGUAGGGAAUCUUCCACAAUGGGCGAAAGCCUGAUGGAGCAAUACCGCGUGAGUGAAGAAGGUCUUCGGAUCGUAAAGCUCUGUUGUUAGAGAAGAACACGCAGAACAGUAACUGGUUUUGCGCUGACGGUAUCUACCAGAAAGUCACGGCUAAAUA